RNAcentral lists this non-coding RNA (818 nucleotides) under Oyamia nigribasis. The record is from RNAcentral. Lineage: Eukaryota; Metazoa; Arthropoda; Insecta; Plecoptera; Perlidae.
UUAAAGUUUUAUUCUUACUUAUAAAUUAGUGGUAAGUUUGUUUUACAUAUAAGUUUUAGCGUGGAAAAUAAAAUUUUAUCUUAAUGGUGAUUUUGUUUCUUAAGGUUAGGUUCGCAGUGUUUAAUAUUAUAAAUUAGAGAAAUUUAGAUUUAGCAAAUUUGUUAGUAUCGGCAAAAGUCGUGCCAGCCGCCGCGGUUAUACGAAGGAUACAAAUUAAUAAUUAUUGAUUAAUAGUUAGAUUUAAGAAUUAAAAAGGAAUUGAUAAUAGGUUUUGUAAGGUGAAAUUUUAAAUUUAUUUUGUAUUGCUUGUUAUAGAUAUUGAAGCUGUGAAAUUUAAGUUUUAAACUAGGAUUAGAUACCCUAUUAUUUUAAAUGUAAAAGUUUAUAUAGGUCAGAGUAGUAUUAGAUAUGUUCUUGAAACUCAAAGAAUUUGGCGGUACUUUAGUCUUUUCAGAGGAAUUUGCCCCGUGAUCGAUAUUCCACGUUAUAUCUUACUUAAUUUAGUAAGCAGUUUGUAUACCGCCGUCGUCAGAAUGUCCUUUAAGGGGAAAAAUUUUCUUGAUUUUUAUUUAUUAAAUAGGAUGUCAGGUCAAGGUGCAGCUAAUGAUUAAGUGGAGGUGAAUUACAAUAAAUAAAUUUAAGACGAAUAGUAGUUUGAAAAUGAGCUAUUGGAAGGUGGAUUUGAUGGUAAUUUAUUAUGAAGUUAAAUAUUUUGAUUUUAGCUCUAAAGUAUGCACACAUCGCCCGUCGCUCUCGUUAUUUAAGGCGAGAUAAGUCGUAACAUAGUAGAUGUACCGGAAGGUGUAUCUGGAAAGUUU